GACGAACGCUGGCGGCGUGCUUAACACAUGCAAGUCGAACGGAAAGGCCCUGCUUUUGUGGGGUGCUCGAGUGGCGAACGGGUGAGUAACACGUGAGUAACCUGCCCUUGACUUUGGGAUAACUUCAGGAAACUGGGGCUAAUACCGGAUAGGAGCUCCUGCUGCAUGGUGGGGGUUGGAAAGUUUCGGCGGUUGGGGAUGGACUCGCGGCUUAUCAGCUUGUUGGUGGGGUAGUGGCUUACCAAGGCUUUGACGGGUAGCCGGCCUGAGAGGGUGACCGGCGACAGGGGUCCUAAGAGAGGGCCCAGUCGGGAAGGGGGGGCAGUGGGGGAAAAUAUGACAGAGGGGGGGGGAGUGUGAGGCGGAGGCCCCGGGGGCGGAAGGAUGGCUUAGGGGGGAAAAACAGUUUUCUCCGGAAAAGAGGCGGGAUUGACGGUAGGGAAUAAAAAAGCCCCGGCUAACUCCGUG
This 468-nucleotide ribosomal RNA is filed under the name uncultured bacterium. Its description in RNAcentral is "partial 16S ribosomal RNA". It matches the Rfam family "Bacterial small subunit ribosomal RNA", at positions 28 to 507 of the family's 1533-position model. The record is from RNAcentral.